This 3300-nucleotide unclassified non-coding RNA is filed under the name Hevea brasiliensis (rubber tree). The record is from RNAcentral. Lineage: Eukaryota; Viridiplantae; Streptophyta; Magnoliopsida; Malpighiales; Euphorbiaceae.
GAAGUAUUGUAUAAUUUCCGAUCCUGAAGACUCCAGAGCCACGCGGCAACUCGACGCUGAUUAAUUUUUAUCCAGGGAAUCUAUGAAAAUUUGAAGAGAAAAACACGAGAAAUUGAAAAAGAUAUUUAUGGAGACCGAAAAAGGGCCCACACGCCCAACCAGGCUCCCUCAUCUUCACCUAUAUAAAGCACCUUCGCCAUUCAUGCAAUUCUCGCCAAGUUUUACCUUUGUGAGGCGUCUUCUUUGAAGAAAACACCAAACCCUAGUUCUUUCGAUCUUUAAUCUCUAUCCAUUCUUCUUUCCGUUACUUUCCCUCAUUAUCCUUCUUUUUCCCGGAAAAUUCUCAUAUCUUUCUCUCUCUUUCUCUUGUGUACCUUUCGUUCCUUAGAUCUGCAUGGUGUGGGGUUAUUUCGGUGCAUAGAAUCUGCUUGAUUUCAAUUUUCUAGGAUUGGAUUAAGAGUUGUCGUUUUGGGAAAAUUCUUCUGGGGGAUCGGAGUGGGGAUUAGAGAGAAGAGUAGAUUAAAGAGAGAGGGUUGGGUCCAGUCUCAAUAGAUCUUCUACUGCUUCUUUUGAGGGGGUAGCCGGGGCCUCGGCCUCGGCGGGUUUUAAAGCCCCCACCUUCACAAACUGAAAAGAAGAAAAUCAUAAUCCUAACCCUAACUUUUUAACAAAUACAGAUCGUUGCGGAAGAGGAUGCCGGCCCUGGCUUGCUGCGUAGAUGCUGCCGUUGCGCCUCCCGGCUACGCUUUCGAUGCCGGGGGUGGCUCCCUUCCGUCGCCGGUCCCUUUUUCCGACAUAACUCCGGCACCAACCAACCCCACUGGCUGCAUCGAAAACUCUCCUUCCCAAUGGUCACCUUCCCUCUCCUCUGCACUCUACAAGAUCGACGCUUGGGGAGCUCCUUACUUUUCUGUCAACUCCUCCGGCAACAUAGCCGUCCGUCCUUAUGGGGCUGACACCCUGCCUCAUCAAGAAAUUGAUCUCUUGAAGAUCGUGAGAAAAGUUUCAGAUCAGAAAUCCAUGGGCGGUCUUGGCUUGCAGCUGCCCCUUAUUGUUCGCUUGCCUGAUGUGCUCAAAAACCGCCUCGAGUCUCUGCAAUCAGCUUUCAAUUUUGCAAUCCAGUCUCAGUGCUACGAGGCUCAUUACCAAGGCGUUUAUCCUGUUAAAUGUAACCAGGACCGUUUCGUUGUUGAGGAUAUCGUGAGAUUUGGAUCUCCAUUCCGGUUCGGAUUGGAGGCCGGGUCGAAACCGGAACUCCUUUUGGCUAUGAGCUGCUUGUGCAAGGGAAAUCCAGAAGCUCUCCUUGUUUGUAAUGGAUUCAAAGAUGGAGAGUACAUUUCACUGGCAUUACUCGCUAGAAAACUGGCUUUUAACACAGUGAUUGUGCUUGAGCAAGAAGAAGAGCUUGAUUUGGUUCUGGGAUUGAGCAAGCAAAUGUCUGUCAGGCCCGUGAUUGCAGUGCGAGCCAAGCUGAGAACCAAACAUUCGGGCCAUUUCGGGUCCACCUCGGGCGAGAAAGGGAAAUUUGGGUUAACCACGACCCAGAUUUUACGGGUUGUGAAGAAGCUUGACGAAGCAGGAAUGCUUGAUUGUCUCCAGUUGCUGCAUUUCCAUAUUGGAUCUCAAAUUCCUUCUACUGCCUUACUCGCUGAUGGUGUAGGUGAGGCUGCACAGAUCUACUGCGAAUUAGUCCGUCUCGGUGCCCACAUGAAAGUCCUCGACAUUGGAGGUGGGUUGGGCAUCGACUACGACGGAUCCAAAUCUGGUAGUUCGGAUCUAUCUGUGGCUUAUGGACUCGAAGAGUAUUCUCUGGCUGUUGUGCAAGCUGUUAAGCUUGUUUGUGACCGCAGGAACAUUAAGCACCCUGUGCUUUGUAGCGAGAGUGGCCGCGCUAUUGUUUCUCAUCACUCCAUCUUGAUAUUUGAGGCUGUAUCUGCAAGCGUAUCUACUGCUGCAUCAAUGACUCCCACUGGGUUACAAUAUUUUAUAGAGGGGCUUAGAGGGGAUGCCCUUUCGGAUUACAGAAAUUUAUCAGCCGCAGUGGUGAGAGGCGAGUAUGACACCUGCUUGCUCUAUGCUGAGCAAUUGAAACAAAAAUGUGUUGAUCAGUUCAAAGAAGGAAAUAUUGGUAUGGAACAAUUAGCUGCUGUUGAUGGGUUUUGUGAACUGGUGGGUAAAGUAAUUGGGUUAUCGGAGCCAAUUCGCACUUACCAUGUCAAUCUGUCAGUUUUCACCUCAAUUCCGGAUUUUUGGGGGAUUGGCCAAUUGUUUCCUAUCGUUCCAAUUCAUCGACUAGAUCACAGGCCUGCGGUGAGAGGGAUUUUGUCUGAUUUAACAUGUGACAGUGAUGGGAAGAUUGACAAAUUCAUUGGCGGCGAGUCAAGUUUGCCGCUGCAUGAAAUUGAAGGCGGUGGGCGGUACUACUUGGGGAUGUUUUUGGGCGGGGCUUACGAGGAGGCGCUCGGUGGAGUUCACAACCUGUUCGGUGGGCCCAGUGUUGUGCGGGUUUUGCAGAGUGAUGGACCGCACAGCUUUGCGGUGACUGCAGCCGUGCCUGGCCCGUCUUGUGGUGAUGUCCUCCGGGUUAUGCAGCACGAGCCUGAGCUCAUGUUCGAGACCCUCAAGCACCGUGCUGAAGAACUUUGCCUCCAUGACGAAGACAGUGACGAUGGCUGCGAGAGUGAUCAUGGUAUGGGCAAUGCUGCAUUAGCUAGCAGCCUUGCUCGCUCCUUCCACAACAUGCCUUACCUUGUGGGAUCAUGUUCACUGACUGCUUUGAAUAAUGGUGGUUUAUACUAUGGCAACGAGGACGCUGCUGAUGUUGCUGGUGGUGAUGAAGAGCAGUGGUCCUCCUAUUGCUGUGCUUGAGCUUUUAAUUAAUUAGCUACAUCGCUUAUAUUUACCGUGUAUGGUUGGUUUUGUGCUAGAGUGGUAAUUUUUUACUUUUGUUGAUUCCCAUUUUGAUGCUGGACUAUCUUUUCUUUGGCCUUUUUGAGCAGAAAGAGGGAUUGUGGGAAACCGAAUAAUUCACCCUACCCGUUUGUAAAUUCGGUUGUUCCCUCUUCUUUUAUUGUAGAUUUUUCGAGUUUUUAGUUCAAUUGGUGCCUUUGUUCCAUGCGUAUAUUCUUUUCAGUUUUUGAGAUUGCGAAGUUGAUGUUCUACUGGUGGCCUUUUUUUUUAUAAUUUUUUUCCCGACUUCUGAUCUUGUGUAGGCCCUCUCUCUAUUUAGUGGUUAGAUUGUAGUAUUUUAUAAUUUUUAAUGUGAGAUGGGUCUGUCUUCGGUGGAAAAAGCUAGAAAAC